Molecule: ribosomal RNA, 492 nt
Filed under: uncultured bacterium
Lineage: Bacteria
Description: partial 16S ribosomal RNA
Rfam family: Bacterial small subunit ribosomal RNA
Source: RNAcentral
AGUGAACGCUGGCGGUAGGCCUAACACAUGCAAGUCGAACGGCCGCACAGUAAGCGCUUGCUCUUACGGGUGGCGAGUGGCGGACGGGUGAGGAAUACAUCGGCAUCUACUUUUUCGUGGGGGAUAACGUAGGGCCACUUAUGCUACUACAGCAUACGUCCUACGGGUUAAAGCAGUGGAUCUUCGGACCUUGCGCGAUUGAAUGAGCCGAUGUCGGAUUAGCUAGUUGGCGGGGUAAAGGCACACCAAGGCGACGAUCCGUAGCUGGUCUGAGAGGAUGAUCAGCCACACUGGAACUGAGACACGGUCCAGACUCCUACGGGAGGCAGCAGUGGGGAAUAUUGGACAAUGGGCGCAAGCCUGAUCCAGCCAUACCGCGUGGGUGAAGAAGGCCUUCGGGUUGUAAAGCCCUGUUGUUGGGAAAGAAAAGCAGCAGGUUAAUACCCCGCUGUUCUGACGGUACCCAAAGAAUAAGCACCGGCUAACUUCGUG